CAUCAUUACUAAUAACCUGCUGGCCUUGCUCUGUCUGGUGGGUUCUGUUCCAGUGCUAUAUCACUUCCAGUGACACAUACAUGAUUGAUUGGUUGGUAGUUUUCAGUUUCUCAUCUUGGAGAUUCAC
Jaculus jaculus (lesser Egyptian jerboa) is the source of this 127-nucleotide small nucleolar RNA. Lineage: Eukaryota; Metazoa; Chordata; Mammalia; Rodentia; Dipodidae. The record is from RefSeq and is a predicted model, not a curated record.